Labeo rohita (rohu) is the source of this 605-nucleotide long non-coding RNA. RefSeq lists it as uncharacterized. The transcript has 6 exons. The record is from RefSeq and is a predicted model, not a curated record. Lineage: Eukaryota; Metazoa; Chordata; Actinopteri; Cypriniformes; Cyprinidae.
GAGAUGAUCGCUAUGAAAUGAAGUCUCAUUCAGCACACAUCGCGAUAUUUGCCAUCAGUUUACGUGUGCUGCAGGUUGGCUGAGGAGACCUAAAGGAAGCCGUCAGUCCAGUCUUGUUUGUGGAGAGGUCUUCAUUUAGAAACAGAGAAGACAGAAAGCUGCGGAGGGAGACAUUUGCAGUGGUAGGAUUACUCACAGAUUGUGCUGUCCUUCUUUUUCAGGUCUCUACAAUAUCUAAACAACAGCUCCUUUAUGAACCCUCACAAACCUUCCUAAAAACUAAAAGAGCUGUUACUGAGUCUCAGUGAGUCUUGCCAUGAUCAGCUCUUCCCAGAAGAGAAGGAAGACCAAGGAAGUCCUUUGUUCAGGGUGAGGAAUGAAUAUGGCCAUCUUGCGCCCAAACAAAGAAGACAGCAAAGUGCACAUGUCCACUGGUGAUCUCAUCAGCCAAAUGAAGGGGUUUGACCAAGUGAUGCUCUUGAAAGGAGAGAAAGAAGAGGAUGUUGUUAAUUGUCUUCAAAGAAAAAGCUGCUCAAAAUGUCUUAAAACCUUAAAGGUCUGGGAACUGUCUGAAAAUGGGAUGUCAGGAGUGAGAGAUCCUCUGG